Molecule: long non-coding RNA, 749 nt
Filed under: Coturnix japonica (Japanese quail)
Lineage: Eukaryota; Metazoa; Chordata; Aves; Galliformes; Phasianidae
Description: lncRNA (ENSCJPG00005002595.1)
Source: RNAcentral
AUCUAUGGGGCUGGGGUGGAUUCUAUGGGGCUGGCGUGGAAUCUAUGGGGCUGGAGGACCCUAAAAUGGGGCUAAAGGGGCUCAAAAUGGGAAUCUAUGGGGCUGGAGUGGGGAUCUAUGGGGCUGGAGGACCUUAAUAUGGGAAUCUAUGGGGCUGGAGGACCCUAAUAUGGGGCUAUAGGGGAUCUAAAUGGGGAUCUAUGGGGCUGGAGGGGCUUAAUGUGGGGCUGGAGGGGAUCUAUGGGGCUGGAGGAGCCUAAUAUGGGAAUCUAUGGGGCUGGAUGACCUUAAUAUGGGAAUCUAUGGGGCUGGAGUGGGAAUCUAUGGGGCUGGGGUGGGAUCUAUGGGGCUGGAGUGGGAAUCUAUGGGGCUGGAGGGGGAAUCUAUGGAGCUGGGGUCGAAUCUAUGGGGCUGGAGGGGGGAUCUAUGGGGCUGGGGUGGAAUCUAUGGGGCUGGAGGACCCUAAUAUGGGAAUCUAGGACCCUAAUAUGGGAUCUAUGGGGCUGGAGUGGGAAUCUAUGGGGCUGGAGGACCCUAAUAUGGGAAUCUAUGGGGCUGGGGUGGAAUCUAUGGGGCUGGAGGACCCUAAUAUGGGAAUCUAUGGGGCUGGGGUGGGAACCUAUAGGGCUGGAGUGGGUCUAUGGGGCUGGGGUCAGAUCUAUGGGGCUGGGGUCCCCAAUAUGGGGCUGGGGUCGAAUGUAUGGGGUUGUAGGACCCUAAUAUGGGAAUCUAUGGGGCUGGGGUCGAAU